UACGGAAGGGGCUAGCGGUGUUCGGAAUUACUGGGCGUAAAGAGCGCGUAGGCGGCUUACCAAGUUGGGGGUGAAAUCCCGGAGCCCAACUCCGGAACUGCCUUCAAAACUGGUAGGCUCGAGUCCGGAAGAGGGGCGUGGAAUUCCCAGUGUAGAGGUGAAAUUCGUAGAUAUUGGGAAGAACACCGGUGGCGAAGGCGGCGCCCUGGUCCGGUACUGACGCUGAGGUGCGAAAGCGUGGGGAGCAAACAGG
This 253-nucleotide ribosomal RNA is filed under the name uncultured bacterium. RNAcentral's name for it is "partial 16S ribosomal RNA". It matches the Rfam family "Bacterial small subunit ribosomal RNA", at positions 524 to 776 of the family's 1533-position model. The record is from RNAcentral.